GCCGGCGUAGCUCAGGGGUAGAGCAACUGAUUCGUAAUCAGUAGGUCGGGGGUUCAAAUCCCUUCGCCGGCUCCA
RNAcentral lists this transfer RNA (75 nucleotides) under Bacillota bacterium. RNAcentral's name for it is "Firmicutes bacterium (anaerobic digester metagenome) tRNA-Thr". It matches the Rfam family "tRNA". Rfam says of the family: Transfer RNA (tRNA) molecules are approximately 80 nucleotides in length. Their secondary structure includes four short double-helical elements and three loops (D, anti-codon, and T loops). Further hydrogen bonds mediate the characteristic L-shaped molecular structure. tRNAs have two regions of fundamental functional importance: the anti-codon, which is responsible for specific mRNA codon recognition, and the 3' end, to which the tRNAs corresponding amino acid is attached (by aminoacyl-tRNA synthetases). tRNAs cope with the degeneracy of the genetic code in two manners: having more than one tRNA (with a specific anti-codon) for a particular amino acid; and 'wobble' base-pairing, i.e. permitting non-standard base-pairing at the 3rd anti-codon position. The record is from RNAcentral. Lineage: Bacteria; Bacillati; Bacillota.